ACUCCUACGGGAGGCAGCAGUGGGGAAUAUUGCACAAUGGGCGCAAGCCUGAUGCAGCAACGCCGUGUGAGUGAAGAAGGUUUUCGGUAUCGUAAAACUACUGUCCUAAGGGAAGAAACAAAAUAGACGGUACCUUAGGAGGAAGCCCCGGCCUAACUACGUGCCAGCAGCCGCGGUAAUACGUAGGGGCGAAGCGUUAUCCGGAAUCACUGGGCGUAAAGGGUGCGUAGGCGGCUUAGCAAGCCAGGGGUGAAAGGCAUUGGCUCAACCAAUGUAAGCCUUUGGAACUGUUAAGCUUGAGUGCAGGAGAGGUAAGUGGAAUUCCUAGUGUAGAGGUGAAAUUCGUAGAUAUUAGGAGGAACACCAGUGGCGAAGGCGACUUACUGGACUGUAACUGACGCUGAUGCACGAAAGCGUGGGUAGCGAACAGGAUUAGAUACCCUGGUAGCACAGA
This 454-nucleotide ribosomal RNA is filed under the name uncultured bacterium. Its description in RNAcentral is "bacterial SSU rRNA". It matches the Rfam family "Bacterial small subunit ribosomal RNA", at positions 335 to 799 of the family's 1533-position model. The record is from RNAcentral.